CGGGGUGAGUAACGCGUGGAUAACCUGCCUCACACAGGGGGAUAACAGUUAGAAAUGACUGCUAAUACCGCAUAAGCGCACAGUACCGCAUGGUACAGUGUGAAAAACUCCGGUGGUGUGAGAUGGAUCCGCGUCUGAUUAGGUAGUUGGUGAGGUAACGGCCCACCAAGCCGACGAUCAGUAGCCGACCUGAGAGGGUGACCGGCCACAUUGGGACUGAGACACGGCCCAA
Molecule: ribosomal RNA, 232 nt
Filed under: uncultured bacterium
Lineage: Bacteria
Description: partial 16S ribosomal RNA
Rfam family: Bacterial small subunit ribosomal RNA
Source: RNAcentral